CAAAGCCCUGCAACUGCUUUGAUUGUGUUGGAGGUCUGGAGUCGCUCUGUUUUCAGGUUUGAGUUUAGUUUCUGUUCACACGGGCACCUGGGUGGUUGAGCUACGGUCUUUUCCAGCCUUCUUCUUGUCCAAGGUAGAUCUGACAGCUGGCUGUGAUCGACACCACCGAGAAAGACAGACUGAACAAACGAGAGGAAGGAGAGCAGCAGGAAGGCAGCAUUUCAGAAUAAAGCCCAGGGAAGGCAUGGCAAACGCUGGCCACCAGAUGUUGGAACCCGGCUGCAGGGAUUUGUUCCCAUUCAGCCGUAAGAGCAUUAGCGAGGUCGGCCACGGAUUUUUGGGUGACAAGGUCUGGCUCACAGUCGGCAUUCGAGUUCAUCCCGAAACUGCCGCAUGGGGUUGAUGUCAGGGCUGUGCAGGCCGGUCAUGUUGCCAGAAAGCAGGAAGAACAAUAUGGUGCGCAGUAUUUUGCUUAAAUGUAGUAAGUAAGCAGUUCCUGAUUCAUGUCACCAAUGAUUUCACCAACACCAUCUUCCCCUAACUUUAAUAUUACCAUAAAAAUGUUAAUCAUGCCAGUCAAACGGCAGUUAGCUUAAGUUUAGGUUCAAAAGCUACUUGGUUCAGUUCAAAACUAGGAGGCUAAGUUCAGUCAAUGAUCACGGUUCAGGUUAAAAUAAGUGCGUUAAUGUGACGAACGUUAUGUAAGUUAAAAUAUGCCAAACAUUGACUUCCAGUUUCACAAAAAAAAAGCAGCCUUCUGGGUAAAAAUGGAAAGUCUGUUUGACUCAUCCAUCCACUCCACCUCCUCCACAUGCAGACUUUCUUCCUCUUAAAUCAACUGACUUCCUCUUUUGCUCAUGUCAUGAUUAUUACGGCCACUAGACGCAACUUUACGUAACAAUAACCUGCUUGCACAGACAACCUAUACGGCUGUCUCUCUGGUGAAAAAGCAAACGCACUACAACAUUCUGCAGAUAUUCGGUCAUUAGUAAAGACGCAGGGAGGGGGGAACAACAGGAAACAGCUGUAACAAUUACAUUUCUUUCAAAUUGGAUAUUUGCUGUUGCACAUUAGCCGUAUAUCAAUAUAACCCCAACCCUGGAAGGACUUAAAAUACAAUAUUAAGAUUCUCUUCAUUGGGAACAAAGGGAAACCCAGACCCUGACACACAGCCACAGUGGGUGUCCACAUACUUUUGGACACAUACUGUAUUUGUAUUGCUCAUAGACUGGAGGGAAACAUGUGGGAUCCAGCAGUGGAGCUGAAACUGGACUUCCCUUUAGUCCUUUUUUUUCUCAACACAGCCAACAUCUGUUUGGGAGCAGCGUCUUUAACAGCCUUUAGAGGAACUGCAGCUUCUUGGCAGAAAAACAAAACACAUCUUUUCCACUUUAAUGAAGGUCACCCAGGCCGGGAUCACUCCUCCCCUCUUGCUGGGAAUCCCAGCUCCUUCUGGGCCUGCGGGAGGCCGAGGUCCCCCCAGCGUUUCUUGGAUGCUUGCCCGCGGUCUCCCUCCACCGGCCAAUCAUCAUGACCAGGCGGCCCGAGCCGCCCCUCGCGGCUCCUCUCGACGUGGAGGAGCGGCAGAGGUCGUCUUGAACCGGCGGGCUCUUCACCCCGGCACGAAGACGAAGGCCAGCCACCCGGAGAAACCUCGCCUCGGCUCAUUCUUGCAUCUGCGGCCUCAUUCUUUCAGCCGCUGACCAUCAUCUUAAAGGACAUUUAAGAGAUCAACACAUGGCCCGCUGCCUCAUAAACAAGGAAAUACAGACUCUAACUACUCCAUAAUGUGGGAUGCUUUGUUCAGCAGCAUGUCGGAGGGCGGCCCGCUCGGAAAGAAACAUCUGUUCAACCAACAAACACACGGGCCGGAGUGCUCAUUCAUGUUCACGAGCUCGUUACACACUUCAUCUACGAAAACGCCUUCUAAUAUCGAUGAGCCCACUUUCCCACAACACAAGACUCUGUUGUCUUUAUGUGCCCAUUCUGUCGUCUAACGGCGGCAUCUUCACCAACGGGCCAAAUGUGGACAUCAGACGUAACAGCUUCGGUAUCAUCCCCUCGCUUUCAUUCGGCGACAGUCAACACUCACACGGGGCUGAGAUUCAUCACAGCGGAGGCAGAGACACCAAUUUCUCCACCAGCGGCGGCAGGAAAAUGGCCCAGAAUGCAAUUCAGCCGCGAGACGGGGACACAGCUGCAAUCACGCCGACAGCCAAAUGAUCAUGAGCUGGGAGGCUUUAUUACUCGGCCGGACGCCCACCCUUGAUUGAAAACAAUAUGCUUACCUCAUUGCUUCGUGGGCUGAUGAAAAGCAUCUUGGGAAAUGUAGUAAAUCAUGUAUCAUUCUGCUGUUUUCACAUUAAAAA
Long non-coding RNA from Chelmon rostratus (copperband butterflyfish), 2369 nucleotides. RefSeq lists it as uncharacterized. NCBI's taxonomy places the organism in Eukaryota, Metazoa, Chordata, Actinopteri, Chaetodontiformes, Chaetodontidae. The record is from RefSeq and is a predicted model, not a curated record. The transcript has 3 exons.